CCCACUAAACCCACACAGCAUUGAUGAUAUACACAGUUUGAUCCUCCAGGUUAAUUCUGGACACCAUAUUUGGGCCAGGGAAGGAAUAUUGCAGCAGAUUGGCUCGGCCUCAGGAAUGUGGGAAGGUUUUGAUUUCCACUCUGCACUGGCCCCUCAAGAACUUUGGGCACUGCAGUUCCUACAGGCUGGAAGCUGUCUUCCAGGUAUGUAAAUGUGUUCAGUGUCCCCCAAGUCAAUGUUGUUUUCUUGUGCAGCCAUUGCCUAACCAACUUAAAAUUCUCACACAUUGGCUA
This 293-nucleotide long non-coding RNA is filed under the name Chrysemys picta bellii (western painted turtle). RNAcentral's name for it is "lncRNA (ENSCPBG00000021122.1)". Lineage: Eukaryota; Metazoa; Chordata; Testudines; Emydidae. The record is from RNAcentral.